GUCUCGAGCGUGCGCAGUGGGAGCGACCCUGGGAAGUCGCUGUUCUUUCCCUCGGCUCCACAAAAGCAUCUCAAAAGAAGAUUUGCAGAUCGGAAACACAAACCAAAUGAUCUAAGCAUGCCUUUUUAUUCAUUCAGCACUGGAUAUUAUCGGCCUUUAAAGAAUGGAAACUUCCAAGCUGUUCCUCGGGAGUAUUAUAAUGCAACGUUUGACCAGAAUCACAUAAUAAGAUGUUAGGGAGGUGACAAAAUGUUUUAUGGUCAGAUUUGUUGUUUUGAAGGAGUAUUUUAAAGUGCAAAACUGAGGCAGAGAAAG
Rhincodon typus (whale shark) is the source of this 315-nucleotide long non-coding RNA. RefSeq lists it as uncharacterized. The record is from RefSeq and is a predicted model, not a curated record. NCBI's taxonomy places the organism in Eukaryota, Metazoa, Chordata, Chondrichthyes, Orectolobiformes, Rhincodontidae. The transcript has 3 exons.